RNAcentral lists this long non-coding RNA (431 nucleotides) under Vigna radiata. RNAcentral describes it as "long non-coding RNA (VRAD_LNC010141)". The record is from RNAcentral. Lineage: Eukaryota; Viridiplantae; Streptophyta; Magnoliopsida; Fabales; Fabaceae.
AAUAAAAUGACAUAGUUUUAAACACUAAUCACUCAGCUUUAUAAAUAAAACACACUUUAACAUUACCAAAUUACAAUACAACAACUUGUAUGGAGAGAUCAACCAAGUUUCAUCAACAUACAUAUUACAAUUACAUUAAAAACACAUAUAACAAAUACCAUCCCCAGUAACACCUUCAACCACUUUUCUGACAUAAGAACCCUUUUCUCUAAACAAGCUAUUUUCAUCUUUUCAUCAUCAGCUUCUUCCAUCUUGAUCACACUUUGUUCCAUCAUCAUCAAACUUCCACAUGCUUGUUCAUUUCUUCCACUUCUACUCCUUUGUUCUUCGUACAACACAUUUCCUUCUUCUAUUGCUUCUUCACUGCACCAGCGCAAGAAGUUACAGCCAACGAAAUCUUCACCCCCACCAUGUUGAACGACAAUAGGCAC